UGAGUAACCUGCCCUUAACUCUGGGAUAAGCCUGGGAAACUGGGUCUAAUACCGGACAUGACUCCUCAUCGCAUGGUGGGGGGUGGAAAGCUUUUUGUGGUUUUGGAUGGACUCGCGGCCUAUCAGCUAGUUGGUGAGGUAACGGCUCACCAAGGCGACGACGGGUAGCCGGCCUGAGAGGGCGACCGGCCACACUGGGACUGAGACACGGCCCGGACUCCUACGGGAGGCAG
This 233-nucleotide ribosomal RNA is filed under the name uncultured bacterium. RNAcentral's name for it is "partial 16S ribosomal RNA". It matches the Rfam family "Bacterial small subunit ribosomal RNA", at positions 118 to 351 of the family's 1533-position model. The record is from RNAcentral.